GUGGCGAACGGGUGAGUAAUAUAUCGGAACGUGCCCAGUCGUGGGGGAUAACGUAGUGAAAAUUACGCUAAUACCGCAUACGAUCUAAGGAUGAAAGCGGGGGAUCGCAAACCUCGCGCGACUGGAGCGGCCGAUAUCAGAUUAGGUAGUUGGUAGGGUAAAGGCCUACCAAGCCAACGAUCUGUAGCUGGUCUGAGAGGACGACCAGCCACACUGGAACUGAGACACGGUCCAGACUCCUACGGGAGGCGGCAGUGGGGAAUUUUGGACAAUGGGCGAAAGCCUGAUCCAGCCAUUCCGCGUGCAGGAUGAAGGCCCUCGGGUUGUAAACUGCUUUUGUACAGAACGAAAAGGUUUCUAUUAAUACUAGGAGCUCAUGACGGUACUGUAAGAAUAAGCACCGGCUAACUACGUGCCAGCAGCCGCGGUAAUACGUAGGGUGCAAGCGUUAAUCGGAAUUACUGGGCGUAAAGCGUGCGCAGGCGGUUAUAUAAGUCAGAUGUGAAAUCCCCGGGCUCAACCUGGGAACUGCAUUUGAGACUGUAUAGCUAGAGUACGGUAGAGGGGGAUGGAAUUCCGCGUGUAGCAGUGAAAUGCGUAGAUAUGCGGAGGAACACCGAUGGCGAAGGCAAUCCCCUGGACCUGUACUGACGCUCAUGCACGAAAGCGUGGGGAGCAAACAGGAUUAGAUACCCUGGUAGUCCACGCCCUAAACGAUGUCAACUGGUUGUUGGGUCUUAACUGACUCAGUAACGAAGCUAACGCGUGAAGUUGACCGCCUGGGG
RNAcentral lists this ribosomal RNA (785 nucleotides) under uncultured bacterium. Its description in RNAcentral is "bacterial SSU rRNA". It matches the Rfam family "Bacterial small subunit ribosomal RNA", at positions 95 to 878 of the family's 1533-position model. The record is from RNAcentral.